Molecule: ribosomal RNA, 351 nt
Filed under: uncultured fungus
Lineage: Eukaryota; Fungi
Description: SSU rRNA
Rfam family: Eukaryotic small subunit ribosomal RNA
Source: RNAcentral
GUAGUCAUAUGCUUGUCUCAAAGAUUAAGCCAUGCAUGUCUAAGUAUAAACAAAUUUGUACUGUGAAACUGCGAAUGGCUCAUUAAAUCAGUUAUAGUUUAUUUGAUGUUACCUUGCUACAUGGAUAACUGUGGUAAUUCUAGAGCUAAUACAUGCAAUCAAGCCCCGACUUCCGGAAGGGGUGUACUUAUUAGAUAAAAAACCAACGCGGCUCGCCGCCCCCUUGGUGAUUCAUAAUAACUUCUCGAAUCGCAUGGCCUUGUGCCGGCGAUGCUUCAUUCAAAUAUCUGCCCUAUCAACUUUCGAUGGUAGGAUAGUGGCCUACCAUGGUUUCAACGGGUAACGGGGAAU